This 3008-nucleotide ribosomal RNA is filed under the name Capsicum baccatum. RNAcentral describes it as "eukaryotic LSU rRNA". It matches the Rfam family "Eukaryotic large subunit ribosomal RNA", at positions 603 to 3401 of the family's 3401-position model. Lineage: Eukaryota; Viridiplantae; Streptophyta; Magnoliopsida; Solanales; Solanaceae. The record is from RNAcentral.
CACCGUGGCGCCAUGGCCCAAUGGCACCAAGGAACCAAGGCACCGUGGCGCCAUGGCACCAAGGCACCAUGGCGCCAUGGCACCUAGGCACCUUGGCGCCAUGGCACCAAGGUGGCGCGGUGCCAUGGCACCAUGGCACCGUGUCACACAGGCACCAUGGCACCAACGCAGCUUGCCACACAGGCACCGUGGUACUAUAGCACUAUGGCACCAGCUCGUGGAAUGUCGUCUCCUCGAUUGUGGCAGGCAGCACGCGCCUUCGGUGUACUUCGGCAUCUGCGCGCUCCAGACGCUCUGGACUAUGGGCUCCCCAUUCGACCCGUCUUAAAACACAGACCAAGGAGUCUGACAUGUGUGCGAGUCAACGGGCGAGUAAACCUGUAAGGCACAAGGAAGGUGAUUGGUGGGAUCCCCCCAAGGGGUGCACCGCCGACCGACCUUGAUCUUCUGAGAAGGGUUCGAGUGUGAGCAUUCCUGCGGGGACCCGAAAGAUGGUGAACUAUUCCUGAGCGGGGUGAAGCCAUAGAAAACUCUGGUGUAAGCCCACAGCGAUACUAACGUGCAAAUCGUUCAUCUGACUUAGGUAUAGGGGUGAAAGACUAAUCGAAUCGUCUAGUAGGUGGUUCCCUCUGAUGUUUCCCUCAGGAUAGAUGGAGCUCGCGUGCGAGUUCUAUCGGGUAAAGCCAAUGAUUAGAGUCCUCGGGGACGCAACGCCCUCGAACUAUUCUCAAACAUUAAAUAGGUAGGACGGCGGGACUGCUUCUUUGAGCCGCGCAAUUAAAUCAAGAGCUCCGACCAAGGCCAUUUUUGGUAAGUAGAACUGGCGAUGCAGGAUGAAUCGGAAGCCGGGUUGCUGUGCCACAAUGCGCGCUAACCUAGAUCCCACAAAGGGUGUUGGUAGUUUAAGACAGCAGGACGGUGGUCAUGGAAGUCAAAAUCUGCUAAGGAGUGUGUAACAACUCACCUGCCGAAUCAACUAGCCUCGAUAAUGGAUGGUGCUUAAGCGCACGACCUACACCCGAUCGUCGGGGCAAAUGCCAGGCCCUUAUUAGUAGGAGGGCGUUGCAUUCGCUGCAAAACCUUGGGCGCGAGCCCGGGCGGAGUAGCCGUCAGUGCAGAUUUUGGUGGUAGUAUCAAAUAUUCAAAUGAGAACUUUAAAGGCUGAAGAGGGGAAAGGUUCCAUAUGAACGGCACUUGCACAUGGGUUAGUCGAUCCUAAGGGUCGCACGAGCUUUGAAAGGGAAUCGGGUUAAAAUUUCUAAAACAGGACGUGGCAGUCGACGGUAACGUUAGGAAGUCUGGACACAUCGACUGGAGCCUCAGGAAGAGUUAUCUUUUUGGUUUAGCAGCCUGCCCACCCUGGAAUCGGCUCAGCCGGAGGUAUGGUCCAGCGGCUGGAAGAGCACCGCACAUCACGUGGUGUCCGGUACGCUCUCGGCGGACCUUGAAAAUCCGGAGGAGCGAAUGCCAUCCACACCCGGUCGUACUCAUAACCGCAUCAGGUCUCCAAGGUGAACAACCUCUGGUCGAUGGAAUAAUGUCGGCAAAAUGGAUCUGUAAGUUUGGGAAAAGGUUUGGCUCUGACGGCUGGACAUGGGGGUCCCAGUCCCGAACCCGUCGGCUGUCGGUGGACUGCUCGAGCUGCUCUCGCGGUGGAAGAGGGUCGCCACGUGCCGGCCGGGGGACGGACUAGGAACGGUUCCUUCGGGGGCCUUCCCCGCGCAUCGAACAGCCAACUCAGAACUUCUAUGGACAAGGGGAAUCCGACUGUUUAAUUAAAACAAAGCAUUGCGAUGGUCCCAACGGAUGCUCACGCAAUGUGAUUUCUGCCCAGUGCUCUGAAUGACAAAGUGAAGAAAUUCAACCAAGUGUGGGUAAACGGCGAGAGUAACUAUGACUCUCUUAAGGUAGCCAAAUUUCUCGUCAUCUAAUUAGUGACGCGCAUGAAUGGAUUAAAGAGAUUCCCACUGUCCCUAUCUACUAUCCAGCGAAAACACAGCCAAAGGAAUGGGCUUGGCAGAAACAGCGGGGAAACAAGACCCUAUUGAGCUUGACUCUAGUUCGACUUUGUGAAAUAACUUGAGAGGUGUAGUAUAAGUGGGAGCCAAAAGGCGAAAGUGAAAUACCACUACUUUUAACAUUAUUUUACUUAUUCCAUGAAUCGGAAGCGGGGCACUGCCCCUCUUUUUGGACCCAAGGCUCGCUCUGUGGGCCGAUCCGGGUGGAAGACAUUGUUAGGUGGGGAGUUUGGCUGGGGUGGCACAUCUGUUAAAAGAUAAUGCAGGUGUCCUAAGAUGAGCUCAACGAGAACAAAAAUAUCUUGUGGAACAGAAGGGUAAAAGCUCUUUUGAUUCUGAUUUCCAGUUCGAAUACGAACCGUGAAAACGUGGCCUAACGAUCCUUUAAACCUUCGAAAUUUGAAGCUAGAGGUGUCAGAAAAGUUACCACAGGGAUAACUGGCUUGUGGAAGCCAAGCUUUCAUAGCGACGUUGCUUUUUAAUCCUUCGAUGUCGGCUCUUCCUAUCAUUGUGAAGCAGAAUUCACCAAGUAUUGCAUUGUUCACCCACCAAUAAGGAAUGUGAGCUGGGUUUAGACCGUCGUGAGACAGGUUAGUUUUACCCUACUGGUGACAGUGUCAGAAUAGUAAUUCAACCCAGUACGAAAGGAACCGUUGAUUCAGAAAAUUGGUCAUCGCACUUGGUUGAAAAGCCAGUGGCGCGAAGCUACCGUGUACUGGAUAAUGACUGAAUGCCUCUAAGUCAGAAUUCGGGCUAGAAGCGAUGCAUGCGCCCACCGUCUGCUUGCCGACCCGCAGUAGGGUCCUCGGCCUCCAAGGGCACGUAUCGUUGGCUAAGACGCUGUGGCGGCCGCCUUGAAGUACAAUUUCCAUCGAGCGGCGGACAGAAUCCUUUGUAGACAACUUAAAUACGCGACGGGGUAUUGUAAGUGGCAGAGUGGCCUUACUGCGACGAUCCACUGAGAUUCAACCCUUUGUCCCUCCGGUUUGU